Molecule: ribosomal RNA, 410 nt
Filed under: Corallistes typus
Lineage: Eukaryota; Metazoa; Porifera; Demospongiae; Tetractinellida; Corallistidae
Description: partial 28S ribosomal RNA
Source: RNAcentral
AGGGAAACGCAUGCAUCCGAACGGGCCCUCGUCGGGUUCAGGGGGCUGCGAAGGGUCGUGCGUGCGGACGGCACCCUAGCGGGUCGUCCGCUCGUCGAGGCUCCUCGUACCCCUGCACUCUCGGCGGUUGUGGCCGGCCAAGCACGGCGGGUUGCGCGGUCGAUGAGCACGAGUCGGGCAGGUAGCGCAGCUGCCUUCGGGCAGAGGCGAACUUACAGCCGACCGUGCGGAGCGACCGCCGCCCGCCGAGGAGAGCGGUGGCACUUCCACCCCCGUAGCGCAGGUCCGCUUCCGCGGGCCGGGGCGCUCCCGUCGGUUCGUCGGCCGGGUCGCGUCACUGCCUGCAGUGUCCGGCCUCGGUCGGUUCGUCCGGGCGGGAGGUCGUCUCACGCCUUGCGCUCUGGUCGCUU